RNAcentral lists this small RNA (269 nucleotides) under Arabidopsis thaliana (thale cress). RNAcentral's name for it is "putative long intergenic non-coding RNA". Lineage: Eukaryota; Viridiplantae; Streptophyta; Magnoliopsida; Brassicales; Brassicaceae. The record is from RNAcentral.
UGUUGUAUUUUAUUUUUAUUUUCGAAACUAUAUUAAUACAGAGGAGAGGAAGAUCGUCCUCACAAGUAUUUGCAAAAAUGAUACACAAAUCAAUGCCAAAAUGAUGACGCAGUGAAGGUUUAGACAGCUCAAGAAUGAUAUUGCACAUCAAUCACUGAUUCAAUGUUUUAUUUUUGUCUUCUUCUUUUUUUUUUUUGUUGAAUGAUACUCAUUGUCAACAUAAUAUCAUAAGCCUUUUAUCAAAAUAAUAAUAAUACAUAAUGUCCUGC